RNAcentral lists this unclassified non-coding RNA (284 nucleotides) under Hevea brasiliensis (rubber tree). Lineage: Eukaryota; Viridiplantae; Streptophyta; Magnoliopsida; Malpighiales; Euphorbiaceae. The record is from RNAcentral.
AUUAAUAAUUAUUGUAUUUAUUGUCUUGAUAAUUAAAAAUCUAGUGUAUUAAUUAAUUGAUUUGUUUAAAAUUGGUAUUAAUACUACCUAUUGCAAUUAUAAGUGUUGAAAAGAUAUUAUUUGCAAUGAAAUUGUAAAGCCUUGAUUGCGAAAUCGAAUGAGAGACUGUUAAUUGUAUAUAUUGAACUAUGUUUUUUGAUAGUAUUAGUAAAUGAGGCAAUCAAGUAAUACUUUUAGAAAAUUAAAACUCGUUAAGAAUAAUUGUAAAUUUAAAAUUAUAGUGA